This 110-nucleotide ribosomal RNA is filed under the name Firmicutes bacterium ADurb.Bin193. The record is from RNAcentral. Lineage: Bacteria; Bacillati; Bacillota.
GGUGACAAUAGCGAAGAGGUCCCACCCGUUCCCAUUCCGAACACGGUAGUUAAGCUCUUCAGCGCUGAUGAUACUUGGCGGGCGACCGCCCGGGAAAGUAGGUCGUUGCC